GACGAACGCUGGCGGCGUGCCUAAUACAUGCAAGUCGAACGCUUUUUCUUUCACCGGAGCCUGCUCCACCGAAAGAAAAAGAGUGGCGAACGGGUGAGUAACACGUGGGUAACCUGCCCAUCAGAAGGGGAUAACACUUGGAAACAGGUGCUAAUACCGUAUAACACUAUUUUCCGCAUGGAAGAAAGUUGAAAGGCGCUUUUGCGUCACUGAUGGAUGGACCCGCGGUGCAUUAGCUAGUUGGUGAGGUAACGGCUCACCAAGGCAACGAUGCAUAGCCGACCUGAGAGGGUGAUCGGCCACACUGGGACUGAGACACGGCCCAGACUCCUACGGGAGGCAGCAGUAGGGAAUCUUCGGCAAUGGACGAAAGUCUGACCGAGCAACGCCGCGUGAGUGAAGAAGGUUUUCGGAUCGUAAAACUCUGUUGUUAGAGAAGAACAAGGAUGAGAGUAAAAUGUUCAUCCCUUGA
Molecule: ribosomal RNA, 472 nt
Filed under: Enterococcus casseliflavus
Lineage: Bacteria; Bacillati; Bacillota; Bacilli; Lactobacillales; Enterococcaceae
Description: bacterial SSU rRNA
Rfam family: Bacterial small subunit ribosomal RNA
Source: RNAcentral